AAUAGAUAACGCCAUUGACUUUUUUUCACAUGUUUGACCAUUCGUCUUAUUUAAAAAAUUUACAUAAUUAUAAUUUAUUUUGUUAUGAGUUGUUUAAUUACUCAUAGUACUUUAAGUGUGAUUUAUAUCUAUAUAUUUGCAUAAAAUUUUUGAAUAAGACGAAUGAUCAAACAUAUGAAAAAAAAGUUAACGGCGUUAUCUAUU
This 204-nucleotide microRNA precursor is filed under the name Oryza rufipogon (brownbeard rice). Its description in RNAcentral is "MIR812 microRNA precursor family". It matches the Rfam family "MIR812 microRNA precursor family". Lineage: Eukaryota; Viridiplantae; Streptophyta; Magnoliopsida; Poales; Poaceae. The record is from Rfam by way of RNAcentral.